UACGUAGGGCGCAAGCGUUGUCCGGAAUUAUUGGGCGUAAAGAGCUCGUAGGCGGCUUGUCACGUCGAUUGUGAAAGCCCGAGGCUUAACCUCGGGUCUGCAGUCGAUACGGGCUAGCUAGAGUGUGGUAGGGGAGAUCGGAAUUCCUGGUGUAGCGGUGAAAUGCGCAGAUAUCAGGAGGAACACCGGUGGCUAAGGCGGUUCUCUAGUACGGUACUGACGCUGAGACGCGAAAGCGUGGGGAGCGAACAGG
RNAcentral lists this ribosomal RNA (253 nucleotides) under uncultured bacterium. RNAcentral's name for it is "partial 16S ribosomal RNA". It matches the Rfam family "Bacterial small subunit ribosomal RNA", at positions 524 to 776 of the family's 1533-position model. The record is from RNAcentral.